UGAGACUCCAUCCCAAAAAAAAAAAAAGAAAAGAAAGAAACCAUCAGUCUUAAUAAUCAUAAUAAUAGCUGCUUAAAUUGUAUAAAGUACCCACAUAUAAUUUAUGAAGACAUUAAAAAGACUUACUGAUGUAGCAGAUUUUUUGAAGUAUAACCAAUACAUUUUUGCUCCCACUAACAGCUGCUUCCUAGUUUUCCCAGUUUCCUCACCCAUUGAAUCAUGGAGUCGUUUCUUAGAUUUGAUUCUGAACAUUGACUUCUUUGAAUCUCCAGAUUCAAAAUAGUGUUUACAAAUCCAGAUUUUCUGAAAGAGAAACUUUGAACUGAAUUCAUAAAUCUUUUUUUAACUAAAAAUAAUUCAAAGUCUGAUCUCGUAAUCUUACAAAAAAACAAUGUCCCAUAUCUCAAUUCUGCCAUGGAAAAGCCAAACAUAUUAUUCAUAUUGUUUGUGCCAUUCUUCUUCCAGUAGUGUGAUUCAGGCAUCAGAGUUGCCACCUCUUAGAUGAAGUUUCCACUGCUCAAGUACCUGUCUCUCUUACACUGAGAAGAACUACAGAUUUCACUCUGAGGAUAUCAUCCGCAGGAGGGCGGUUAUUGGGGUGGGAAAUUGUAUGGUGAUGUUUGUCUUUGAUCUGUUCUCAGAUCUUUUAUAGAGCUUUCCUUCCUCCCCUCUUCCACCAUGUAUGUUCCUGGACUUCAGUCCAAUGUCGGCUCCUCGCAGAUUCCUUACUUCUAAGGCUGUUAUAUUAGAAAUAGGGAUGUUAUCGGUGGAAGGUAUCUGAGUUACUGGCAAUGAAUUCUGCAGCAACAUCAAUUCUUGCCUCCUCAGAAGAAAGAAUUUGACGGAGGGGCAUAAGGCAGAAAAAGAGACCAAGGCAAGCUUCACAGCAGGAAGUUUAUUUAAAAGGUUUUAGAAUAGAAAAGAAAGGAAGGUAUACCUGGAAGAGACCCAAGCAGGCACGUGAAGGUCAAGUGCGAUGUUUAACCUUGAUCCCAGGACUUUAUAGGCUGGCCCACUUCCUGUGACUUGCACCUCUUUCCCAUAAUUCAUCCCUUAGGGUGGGCUGCCCGCAUGCACAGUGCCCUCCUUAUGCUUGAGAAGUGAGUACACACAAGGAAGUUGUACACAUGCCCCUUGGAGGUUUCCUUCCCUUUUCCAGUGAUACUUCACCAUCUUGCCUCUUAAUGCUCUUGCCCUUGCUUACUUGCCCAAUACCUGAGAUUUUAUUGGAAUCCCCUUUUUGCUUCUCCCUGGCACCUGCAUUCAAUUCACACUUUACUGUUAACAGGUGUGGACCAUUAGGAGAUUGUCUCUCCCCAGUGCCCUUUGCCAAUUUAUCACUUUUAGAGAGGAAAUGUGAUGAUAAUUGCCAAGCCAUCACCCAACAAUCCUAGUGGGUGGGGGAGAGCCCUCUCCUGCCCCAUUCAUGCCUGUUUAGCUACCUGUGACAGGAAAUUUAGCCAUCAUUGGCUCAUUUUCUUGAAAGACUCAGAUAGGAUAGUGAGGACUGGUUGCUAUUGCUUACGUACUCCAUGUCACUAAAUGAAUCAAAACAUUCUCUGCCUUGGACAUAAUGACGAAUGCAAUGUUAUCAGAUUCAUAGUACAUUUUGGGGGCAAAAUAUACUCAGUUUUGGGAAC
This 1640-nucleotide long non-coding RNA is filed under the name Homo sapiens (human). Its description in RNAcentral is "HSALNT0058455". Lineage: Eukaryota; Metazoa; Chordata; Mammalia; Primates; Hominidae. The record is from RNAcentral.